This 253-nucleotide ribosomal RNA is filed under the name uncultured bacterium. RNAcentral's name for it is "partial 16S ribosomal RNA". It matches the Rfam family "Bacterial small subunit ribosomal RNA", at positions 524 to 776 of the family's 1533-position model. The record is from RNAcentral.
UACGGGGGGGGCGAGCGUUGUCCGAAGUUACUGGGCGUAAAGCGCGUGUAGGCGGGUUGUUAAGUCCGCUGUGAAAGCCCGGUGCUCAACGCCGGAGGGUCGGUGGAUACUGGCAGUCUUGAAGUGGCUAGGGGGAAAUGGAAUUACCGGUGUAGCGGUGAAAUGCGUAGAUAUCGGUAGGAACACCAGUGGCGAAGGCGGUUUCCUGGAGCCCACUUGACGCUGAGACGCGAAAGCUGGGGGAGCAAACAGG